GGGAACAGUAGGCUAAUAUACCUUUAAAUGUAUACAAGUUCUUCCCUAUUGAAGACAUUCUUGAUGGAAAGGCGCCCCAUAAUGUUUUUAUUCAUAUGAAAAAAAAUUUCUAGCAUUAAACUAUUUCUUUUCUUUCAUUUAUUUCCCUUUCAAGUUUAAUCAAUCCCAUUUGUUAUGAUAGAUGUUAUUGGAUUUCUUAAAGCUGUUGGCCCACUUAAGGGGUUCCAAAGCUACAAUGAGACCCAAAGCAUAUUUCUUUUUGAGAUUGCUGAUAUUAAGUAAUUAUACUUUACAGGAUUGACAUGCUUUCUCUUUCUGUCGAAGCAACCAUAUUGUUGCCAUAUUAUUCACUAAACUUUUUUUAUUCCAUUUACAGCAAUAAAGUAUUAAUUGCGUGUUAUUUGGUGACUGCGCAACUGCUGCAUACAACAAUUACCUGACACACACAGAGGUCCCAAUUAUUGUAGUCAUGCAUUUUGUAUGUGCAAGCAAGAAAGUUUCAACCCUGACAUACCAAAAGUGGAAGACAUGCUACAAAGAAUUGAAGGAACUCCAGCGCACAUUUUCCAUACUUUCAGUCAAAUCAUUGGCACUCAACAAUCACAGCCUUCUUCGGAGGCAAUGCUUUAUAAUAAGAAGAAGAUUACAGUCUCUGAAAUCAACAAACAAGAAAAGGAGGAUCCUUUUAUUGUAGCUUGUGAGAUUGAGAAGUUGGAAACCAAAUAUGAUUGGAUUUAUGAAGGAUGUCCUACUU
Prosopis cineraria is the source of this 754-nucleotide long non-coding RNA. RefSeq lists it as uncharacterized. The transcript is spliced from 4 exons. The record is from RefSeq and is a predicted model, not a curated record. NCBI's taxonomy places the organism in Eukaryota, Viridiplantae, Streptophyta, Magnoliopsida, Fabales, Fabaceae.